UGGGGAAUAUUGGACAAUGGGGGAAACCCUGAUCCAGCAAUGCCGCGUGAGUGAAGAAGGCCUUCGGGUUGUAAAACUCUUUUAUAGAUGAAGAUAAUGACGGUAAUCUAUGAAUAAGCUCCGGCUAACUUCGUGCCAGCAGCCGCGGUAAUACGAAGGGAGCUAGCGUUGUUCGGAAUAACUGGGCGUAAAGGGUGCGUAGGCGGCCUGGUAAGUUUGAUGUGAAAGUCCUGGGCUCAACCUGGGGACUGCAUUGGAUACUGCUAGGCUAGAGUAUUGAAGGGGAUGAUGGAAUUAUGCAUGGAGAGGUGGAAUUCAUAGAUAUGCAUAGGAACACCGGUGGCGAAGGCGAUCAUCUGGACAAUAACUGACGCUGAGGCACGAAAGCGUGGGGAGCAAACAGG
RNAcentral lists this ribosomal RNA (404 nucleotides) under uncultured bacterium. Its description in RNAcentral is "bacterial SSU rRNA". It matches the Rfam family "Bacterial small subunit ribosomal RNA", at positions 355 to 776 of the family's 1533-position model. The record is from RNAcentral.